Molecule: ribosomal RNA, 471 nt
Filed under: uncultured Pelotomaculum sp.
Lineage: Bacteria; Bacillati; Bacillota; Clostridia; Eubacteriales; Desulfotomaculaceae
Description: bacterial SSU rRNA
Rfam family: Bacterial small subunit ribosomal RNA
Source: RNAcentral
GACGGGGGCCCGCACAAGCGGUGGAGCAUGUGGUUAAUUCGAUGCAACGCGAAGAACCUUACCAGGGCUUGACAUCCCCUGACCGCGUAUGAAAGUACGUUUUCACCCUCGGGUGACAGGGAGACAGGUGGUGCAUGGUUGUCGUCAGCUCGUGUCGUGAGAUGUUGGGUUAAGUCCCGCAACGAGCGCAACCCCUACGUUUAGUUGCUAACGCGUGAAGGCGAGCACUCUAGACGAACUGCCGUUGACAAAACGGAGGAAGGUGGGGAUGACGUCAAAUCAUCAUGCCCCUUAUGUUCUGGGCUACACACGUGCUACAAUGGCCGGUACAGACGGAGGCGAAGCCGCGAGGCGGAGCAAAUCCGAAAAAGCCGGUCUCAGUUCGGAUUGAAGUCUGCAACUCGACUUCAUGAAGUCGGAAUCGCUAGUAAUCGCGGAUCAGAACGCCGCGGUGAAUACGUUCUCGGGUUU